UCGAGUGGGUUUAGACCCACGGCGAACGGGUGAGUAAUACCUAGGAACUUUAUUCAAGUCGAGCAUAACCUGCCGAAAGGCAGGAUAAUUCUCGAUGUGGCCGCAAGGCUAAAGUCGCAAGACGCUUGAAGUGAGGCCUGGGCACCAUCAGCUUGUUGGUAAGGUAAAAGCUUACCAAGGCUAUGACGGUUAGGGGCCCCGAGAGGGGAAACCCCCACACUGGAACUGCGACACGGUCCAG
This 241-nucleotide ribosomal RNA is filed under the name uncultured bacterium. RNAcentral describes it as "partial 16S ribosomal RNA". It matches the Rfam family "Bacterial small subunit ribosomal RNA", at positions 62 to 334 of the family's 1533-position model. The record is from RNAcentral.